Non-coding RNA from Paramuricea clavata, 474 nucleotides. The record is from the annotation of a GenBank genome assembly. Lineage: Eukaryota; Metazoa; Cnidaria; Anthozoa; Malacalcyonacea; Plexauridae.
CUGAGUAUUAAUGAUAUGUAUAUAUUAUUUGCUACGAAUACAGUCAAAAAUUGCUUGUAUCUUGCUUCUAAAGUCAAGAAUGAAAAAUCGAACACCGUCAAUCGAUGCGGAAUAUUGCUUAGAAUGAUUGUGUCAAAUUUCAUUCCGAUCAGACAAGUAAUGAAGGAGCCUUAGGGUUUUUUCAAAGAGCGUCGCCUCCUAACAACAACAACAACAACAACAACAACAACAACAACAACAACAACAACAACAACAACAACAACAGCAACAGCAACAGCAACAGCAACAGCAGCAGCAGCAGCAGCAACAACAACAAGAUUAGCAGCGAGUGGGGACCAGUUCCUGGUCCAACAAUUCCCCCAACCUCCCCCUAAUGAUCCCAAAAUCCCGGCGGGGGGAUUCAAGUCUGCGAAUCGGUAAUUUCCAAACCUAGAGUGUGUACAUAAUAACUAAUGUUAUGUUGAUGAAUUUUGU